UAGGGAAUCUUCGGCAAUGGGGGCAACCCUGACCGAGCAACGCCGCGUGAGUGAAGAAGGUUUUCGGAUCGUAAAGCNCUGUUGUAAGUCAAGAACGGGUGUGAGAGUGGAAAGUUCACACUGUGACGGUAGCUUACCAGAAAGGGACGGCUAACUACGUGCCAGCAGCCGCGGUAAUACGUAGGUCCCCGAGCGUUGUCCGGAUUUAUUGGGCGUAAAGCGAGCGCAGGCGGUUUGAUAAGUCUGAAGU
RNAcentral lists this ribosomal RNA (250 nucleotides) under uncultured bacterium. Its description in RNAcentral is "partial 16S ribosomal RNA". It matches the Rfam family "Bacterial small subunit ribosomal RNA", at positions 355 to 595 of the family's 1533-position model. The record is from RNAcentral.